CAACUUUAAUCCACAGGCGAGUUGGUGUUUAGAACAUGGAUUCAUUGCUGUCUGACUAAACUGACCAUUUAAGUGAAUGUAAUUACACUCCGCAACAGUAGGGGGAAACCCUGAGCCAUACAGGUGAAAAAAUGUCGAUAUUUAUCAGCAGUAAAAUGCACAUUGUCAUUCCUUCACUUUGAAAUGAAAAUAUUUGAAAAUGUCAGUAACAUUUUUUGGGACAAGAGUCCCAAGCUAAGCUUAAAAUAGAGCACUGGUGGUUGACCUUAAUGUCAUUACUCAAUGUUCUGACAAAUAAGCGGGUCACCAUGCCAGUCAGCAAAGUAGCUACCAAAUUAACAUUUCUCGCAGCUGGUACAACGUGCAGCUGGUCGCGACUGUCACUCGAAUAGUAAAACUGAAGGUCAUUGUCUCGCAAAUCUAUACACUGCUACCUCAAUACUUCCUAUAUAUUUAAAAAUAGUCAAAAAUACCCUCAAGAUGGCAAAUUUUUAUAUAAUUGUACAGUCAAACCAGAAUUGGGAAGAAGAGAAUGCUACUUCUUGUUCUUAAAAGGUUUAGUUACGGUAGCAUCUAUGCUAACUGCCAUUAGCCAUCUACAGUGUUUCACAUUUGACGUUAGCAUUACGCUAGUGGGCUCUUGUUCGACAAAACUACUGGUUUGGUUAAACAUUUUAGUGUUUCCGAACAAAAUGUUCGAUUCUAUUUUGUUUUAUGUGUUAGUCUAACGCUAAAUUUUGUGUUAGCAGUGUGUAGCAGACACCUCUACUUCCUUCCUUACAACAUUUGAUUAUAAGGUAGGUAAGGUAGGCUUCACUUCACUGCAUUAUUUCGAUAAACGACACACGACUUUUUUUUUUUUUCCCUUCGACAAUCUUUCAGAUCGCUCCUCUCACUUUAACAGCCCACACUGCCAGAUUCUCCUCUCAAGAUGUGUGGGAGGAAUCACGCAGCAGCAUCUCGGGUGCCUUCAAAUCCCAAACAUAAACAGGGGAGUGCUUUUAGGCCUUUUACACUCAGCCGUUAAGACAUCAAGCUAAUAGCUGUAAUUGCCUUUUUACUGCAUUCUGUCCUUAAUCUUAACAUGCAGAUAUCGGAAAACCUUGAGUGACCUUACAAAAUGCCGCAGGAACUCCAAUAAAAAGUUAUCAUAUCGCAACAAUGGACGUCUAUUCCCGAUAAUAUCUUCGCGUAUUUGUGUGCCGUGACCUGAAAAUUCUUAUUUAAUCCAACCGGAAACGAAUCGGGGCCGUCAGCGAGGAAGCAGCCAUUCUCAUUCUCCUAUUUACAGUUCGGCCAUGCUUUCACAACCUUAAUUAUUUCCAGUGUAAUCUCAAAGAGACGAGCUAAUUAUGCGGCGCCGCUAAAAUGGUUAUAAACCCUCAUGAAUUGCGCUAACAAGAGAUAUCCCAUAAUGUGUCUGUGAUUAACAUUGCUCUCAUUUUUAUGUGUGCCGCUUCCACUGGCUCUGAACACAUUUGAAUGUUGCCAUCAUUGCCAUCAAUUUUUUUUUUGCUACUUGUCAAUCUUUACCAAGGUUAUUAUAGUGUUACUAUAAUAAUGUUAUUAUAAUACAAAAACUAGCCACUAGUUACAAUUAAUUAGAUUAAUUAAAUUAAUUAGCAACAAGCUACUUCCCAAAUAUAGUUAUUAUUAUUUCCAUUUGAAAGUAACGUAACGUCUGUGUAAGAAGUUACUCAUUACUUUUAAGUUACUUUUUAAGUUUGUUGUAAUUCCUCAUAUGAUGCAAGGGCGGCGCUCAAAGUUAAAGUAUAAUGAGGUUUAUAUCGUUAACAUGACAUUACACUUUUAAUGAGGUCUAAGUAAUAAUAUUAUUGGAAUAUAAUGAGAAAAAUAUCUUUUUUAAUGUAUAUUAAAUGAAAGCUUCUGGACUAGAUGUUCCCCCGUGUUUAGUAACAACGGAGAAGUGCAACGCAAAUAGAAAAAGACUUCCGAAAGUUUGCCGAAAGGUUUGUUUAAAAGCACCAGGUGGUGACAUCUUCAUUUUUCACAGGCCCAAAAGUGAGGCUGCACAGCUUUCCUGGCGCUCCCCUAUGCAUUAUUCUUACUUUAAGCAGCGCGUCUCCUCAGGGGGACGAGAAAGGGGAGGGGGGGGGGGUGUAUUGUUUUACAACACACCCAGCUGCGGCCUAGUUGCCUGGCCCGGGGUUCUUUUUCAAGGAGUUGUCUUCGGUGACCCCUCUCUCUGGCAGUUAUUAAUAAUAACACGUGCCGGGGAAUAGUUCACCUUGUAGCGCUGAGGCCGCUGCAUGUAUGUCUAGCCUCAUACGUGAGGAGGGGGGGGGGGGUCUCCAGGGGGGGGUGCGGAGAAAGAACAGGACGAAGUAGGGGGAGGUUCUUGAAAGGUAGCCAAGCUGAGAUGCACACAAAAGACAUCAAAUAAAGUUUCCCCCUCCUUGCAUGUAAUUAGAAUCAGGUAUCAUGGACGGUCUUGCUAAAGCGACGGAGAGUCUGAUUAGCCGCAUCAAAGACGGCCAAGAGGGCCGAGACUUCUGAUGAAGGACGAGCGUGCCGAACGGGAGGGGUGGAAUCAAAAAAAAAAAAAGAUGAAGGCUAAAGAUGCUGAAGUGCCGAGGCUGACAGACUGAGUGCUGCAUUCUCCACCUCCGAGUCGCCCAUUAAAAGCUCGAGCAGGCGAAGCCUUUUGUGCAUGCUGAGUGCUCCAUUGUAAUAACAAGCAGCCCAGAUAGAAUUCAAUCUGGAGCCUCAAUGAAGCCUCCCUGACAAAAAAUUCUACCGCUAACGUGUUCAAAGCGCUCGACAAAUUGAAGGCUGCCUUUUCUUUCCGAGUGCAAAGAAAAUAUUUUAGGUUUCCCAGGAAAGGAUGUGUCGCGUCAGUUUUUUUUUUUUUUUCGGGGGCGGGAAUUUGCGCAGCUUGACAUCCUAAUUGAUUACGCGGAAUGCUGGUUUUAUCGAAAUAUGGCGACGGUGUAAGUAAUACCGGUGGCAUUCAUGGGCACAGCGGGCAUCGUGACCUUUCGCAGAGCCACAUUCGUCAAGACACAGAUGGCUACCUUUGUAAGCCCCGGCUCUAAAAAAAAAAAA
Long non-coding RNA from Syngnathus acus (greater pipefish), 3066 nucleotides. RefSeq lists it as uncharacterized. The record is from RefSeq and is a predicted model, not a curated record. The transcript is spliced from 2 exons. NCBI's taxonomy places the organism in Eukaryota, Metazoa, Chordata, Actinopteri, Syngnathiformes, Syngnathidae.